Long non-coding RNA from Crotalus tigris (Tiger rattlesnake), 511 nucleotides. RefSeq lists it as uncharacterized. The record is from RefSeq and is a predicted model, not a curated record. The transcript is spliced from 4 exons. Lineage: Eukaryota; Metazoa; Chordata; Lepidosauria; Squamata; Viperidae.
AAUGCACCAUUUAAAAAAGAUAUUCAAAACUGGAUAUUCAAACUCAGCACCUCCAGUGAUAUAAUUGAAGAAUGGUUGAUUGUACAAAACCUCUGGGUUUACCUUGAAGCUGUUUUUGUAGGUGGGGAUAUCGCCAAGCAAUUACCCCAGGAAGCAAAACGUUUUCAAAACAUAGAUAAAUCAUGGAUAAAAAUAAUGCAGCGAGCACAUGAAAAUCCCAAUGUAAUUAGCUGUUGUGUUGGAGAUGAAACUAUGGGACAACUUUUACCACAUUUACAUGAACAAUUGGAAGUAUGCCAGAAAUCACUUACAGGGUAUUUGGAAAAAAAAAGAUUACUGUUUCCUAGAUUCUUUUUUAUUUCUGAUCCUGCCCUUCUGGAGAUACUUGGACAGGCUAGUGAUUCUCACACUAUUCAGCCACACCUUCCUGGUUUAUCUGACAAUAUAAAUGAAGUGGAAUUUCACCCAAAGGAUUAUGAUCGCAUUAUGACAGUUGUAUCAAGAGAAGGAG